GUGGUGAGAUUUUCUGGUGUAGUAAAUGUGUAAGGUACCGAACUUCUGUUGUAAGGUACCGAACUUCUAAAAUUAUGCAGUUACGGUGGAUGUAGUAUGCUGGAUUUUAAAUAUAAAAAUAAAUAUAAAUAAAAAUAGUGUGAAAUACUAUUUUAUUGGACUUAUAGACAUAAAAUAUAAGUCUGGAAUGACCCGUGUUGAAAUCGGAGCGAAAACAGAAGAUUUAAAAUUUUCUGUGUGAAACGGGGCAGAUAAAUUAGCAGAAAAUGCAUAAUGUUAGAAAAUUCUGAAAACUGGAGGAUAAGCUAGAAUUA
Molecule: long non-coding RNA, 314 nt
Filed under: Ananas comosus (pineapple)
Lineage: Eukaryota; Viridiplantae; Streptophyta; Magnoliopsida; Poales; Bromeliaceae
Description: long non-coding RNA (ACOM_LNC005379)
Source: RNAcentral